AGCUAAAAACAUCCCAAGUGAUAUAACAUUCUUGCUCUGUGGUGUGAUGGAUUGAUUAAGUAGAAGGCUUGAAUCAGUGCUACUCCCUGUGUGGCCAUGAUAAACAGGAACAGAGAAAUGGAAGAACUUGCCCCAAACCAUGCAGAAGGUGGUAGAGCCAAGGACUCAAUAACCAGAUUUGAAAGCCAGCAAUCCAAUCACUGUAAUUGUUUGCCUCUGACAGAAGAUUGAUGAGAAGACCCCUCAUAGAGGCGAAGUGACUUCCCCAAGGCUGCACAGCUAAUGGGAGAUUUUGAACCACUUAUUCUCUGGGUUCCUCCAUUGAAGCUGCAAUUGCCCUGACAGCACUGCCUGCCCUU
RNAcentral lists this long non-coding RNA (359 nucleotides) under Bos grunniens (domestic yak). RNAcentral describes it as "lncRNA (ENSBGRG00000016158.1)". Lineage: Eukaryota; Metazoa; Chordata; Mammalia; Artiodactyla; Bovidae. The record is from RNAcentral.